Molecule: ribosomal RNA, 491 nt
Filed under: uncultured bacterium
Lineage: Bacteria
Description: partial 16S ribosomal RNA
Rfam family: Bacterial small subunit ribosomal RNA
Source: RNAcentral
AGUGAACGCUGGCGGUAGGCCUAACACAUGCAAGUCGAACGGCAGCACAGUAAGAGCUUGCUCUUACGGGUGGCGAGUGGCGGACGGGUGAGGAAUACAUCGGAAUCUACUUUUUCGUGGGGGAUAACGUAGGGAAACUUACGCUAAUACCGCAUACGACCUACGGGUGAAAGCAGGGGAUCUUCGGACCUUGCGCGAUUGAAUGAGCCGAUGUCGGAUUAGCUAGUUGGCGGGGUAAAGGCCCACCAAGGCGACGAUCCGUAGCUGGUCUGAGAGGAUGAUCAGCCACACGGGAACUGAGACCCGGUCCAGACCCCGACGGGAGGCAGCAGUGGGGAAUAUUGGACAAGGGGCGAAAGCCUGACCCAGCCAUACCGCGGGGGUGAAGAAGGCCUGCGGGUUGUAAAGCCCUUUUUUUGGGAAAGAAAAGAAGCAGGUUAAUACCCCGCUGUUCUGACGGUACCCAAAGAAGAAGCACCGGCUAACUUCGG